GAUGAAGAACGUAGCGAAAUGCGAUAAGUAAUGUGAAUUGCAGAAUUCAGUGAAUCAUCGAAUCUUUGAACGCACAUUGCGCCCAUUAGUAUUCUAGUGGGCAUGCCUGUUCGAGCGUCAUUUCAACCCUCAAGCACAGCUUGGUGUUGGGACUCGCGUUAAUUCGCGUUCCCCAAAUUGAUUGGCGGUCACGUCGAGCUUCCAUAGCGUAGUAGUAAAACCCUCGUUACUGGUAAUCGUCGCGGCCACGCCGUUAAACCCCAACUUCUGAAUGUUGACCUCGGAUCAGGUAGGAAUACCCGCUGAACUUAAGAAUAUCAAUAAGCGGAGGA
This 332-nucleotide unclassified non-coding RNA is filed under the name soil metagenome. Its description in RNAcentral is "partial contains 5.8S ribosomal RNA, internal transcribed spacer 2, and large subunit ribosomal RNA". The stretch from base 1 to 120 matches the Rfam family "5.8S ribosomal RNA", at positions 35 to 154 of the family's 154-position model. The record is from RNAcentral.